Molecule: ribosomal RNA, 253 nt
Filed under: uncultured bacterium
Lineage: Bacteria
Description: partial 16S ribosomal RNA
Rfam family: Bacterial small subunit ribosomal RNA
Source: RNAcentral
GACAGAGGGUGCAAACGUUGCUCGGAAUUACUGGGCGUAAAGCGCGUGUAGGCGGUCUCGCGAGUCGGGUGUGAAAGCCCGGGGCUCAACCCCGGACGUGCAUUCGAUACUACGAGGCUGGAGUACUGUAGAGGAGAGCGGAAUUCCCGGUGUAGAGGUGAAAUUCGUAGAUAUCGGGAGGAACACCUGUGGCGAAAGCGGCUCACUGGACCACAACUGACGCUGAGGCGCGAAAGCUAGGGGAGCAAACAGG